Molecule: non-coding RNA, 24 nt
Filed under: Arabidopsis thaliana (thale cress)
Lineage: Eukaryota; Viridiplantae; Streptophyta; Magnoliopsida; Brassicales; Brassicaceae
Source: RNAcentral
GAUGACGUAAGACUGAGUGAUGAU